AGGGAGUGGCCAAAGUCUUAUUUCUAUUGUUAUAUAAUAUUUUGAGACUAAAGUCAAGUUGACUCAAAGCACGACAGUUAAAUUCUUAACUAUGGUAUAAAACAGUUGGAUCUUUUUCAUGUUUGUUUUGAUUUCUUGCAUUAAGUUUCAAAAAGUUUUAACUUUGAAUUUCUUUUCUUCUUUUUUAUUUUAUUUUCUCCAGUUUAAAUUUUCUUGUUCUUUCUUGAGGACAAUAAAAGUUGAAGCUUGGGGAGAUUUGUUAGGUGUAUUUCAUGCAUCCAUUUUAUAGUUUUAAUCCAUAAAAGUGCAUUGCAUUUAGGUUUAAACUCAUGCAUUUUGCAUAUUGUUCGGGAUUUUUCAUGAAACAAUUUCAUUCACACAUUUUUGUGACAUUUCAGGGACUUUUGGAGGUAGUAUGUUGUUGAAGGAGGUAAAUAAGAGUUGCUGCCAAAGUUUCAGAACUAUUGGAGCAUUGGGAGGGAGAUUUCAAGAAAAUAAAGAUUUUGACUUUAUAGAGGUUUACACGGCCGUGUAAAUGAAAGCCUUGAGUUUACACGGGCCGUGUAAACGCAUACUCAUGAGCAGUGUACUUCGAAGGCCUGCCCGAUUUGAGCAAUUUACUUCUUGUGUUUACACGACCGUGUAAAUGGUCGGUGUUAGUUUUCACGGGCCGUGUAAACGUGUCGACAGUUUUAAAACAGUUUCAUUCCUUUGUAAAAAGAGGCAUCCGGUUCCUUAAGAAGUUAAGUCGAAUUUGGGAGUAGAAAAGAGCGAUUUUAGGAGAAUUUCGAAGUGGAUUAACAUUUAGAAACACUUUAAUUUGCAUUUUGUAACUCAAAUUGAAGAUCAAAAUUGUUGAAUUUGUAGUUUAGCUUAGACAUGUGUGGCUGAUUUCUUUAUCAUUUCUGAUUCUGAAUUCUUAAGUAUUUAUUGUUAG
This 937-nucleotide long non-coding RNA is filed under the name Lactuca sativa (garden lettuce). RNAcentral's name for it is "long non-coding RNA (LSAT_LNC000506)". The record is from RNAcentral. Lineage: Eukaryota; Viridiplantae; Streptophyta; Magnoliopsida; Asterales; Asteraceae.